RNAcentral lists this ribosomal RNA (532 nucleotides) under Triticum aestivum (bread wheat). RNAcentral's name for it is "partial small subunit ribosomal RNA". Lineage: Eukaryota; Viridiplantae; Streptophyta; Magnoliopsida; Poales; Poaceae. The record is from RNAcentral.
GCAUCCUUGUAAACUCAACCUGCGGCACAAAAAGCAAUCCCUGGAGGACAGCUUGGCAUACCUUAACAGAAUGGCGAAGAAGGAAGCUCGUGACUGGAGAGAGAUGAGGGAACAUCUUGAAGCAUCGGAGCAAAGACAAAUAGAGCUCGAGAAAGUGUACAAGCGACAGGAUAGGGUGGUAAAUUGUGCCGCUGCCACUCUAUUCCUUGCCUUGUUAGCCGGCAAUGUGUUCUUUGGUUGAGUCAGGAAGAGAAAUGGGAAAAGGCAAUUAGGCCUCUAAGUUAGUGUAUAUUAGUGUUAUAUGAGUUUUGGCUAAUUCUUACGCUUAAGUUGUGGAUCUGUUUUCUUGGGGUCUUAAGUUGUGGACCUGUUUUCUGGUGUAAACCUAUUCAAGAAGUCAUUAUUGUUGACCUUUGUUUGCUUUGCAUAGCAACUUAAGUUUCUGGCUGUGAAUGUUUUGAACUGGCCAGGUUAGGCCAACACAGUUGUUAAUUUGGUGGGAGCACCCCAUCUGCUUAUUGAAGUGGAGCCA